UACGUAGGGUGCAAGCGUUGUCCGGAAUUACUGGGCGUAAAGCGCGCGCAGGCGGUUCUCCAAGUCAGUGGUGAAAGCCCGGAGCUCAACUCCGGAACUGCCAUUGAAACUGUUGAACUUGAGGACGAGAGAGGUGAGUGGAAUUCCCAGUGUAGAGGUGAAAUUCGUAGAUAUUGGGAAGAACACCGGUGGCGAAGGCGGCUCACUGGCUCGUUUCUGACGCUCAGGCGCGACAGCGUGGGGAUCAAACAGG
RNAcentral lists this ribosomal RNA (253 nucleotides) under uncultured bacterium. RNAcentral's name for it is "partial 16S ribosomal RNA". It matches the Rfam family "Bacterial small subunit ribosomal RNA", at positions 524 to 776 of the family's 1533-position model. The record is from RNAcentral.